This 253-nucleotide ribosomal RNA is filed under the name uncultured bacterium. RNAcentral's name for it is "partial 16S ribosomal RNA". It matches the Rfam family "Bacterial small subunit ribosomal RNA", at positions 524 to 776 of the family's 1533-position model. The record is from RNAcentral.
UACGAAGGGGGCUAGCGUUGCUCGGAAUCACUGGGCGUAAAGGGUGCGUAGGCGGGUCUUUAAGUCAGGGGUGAAAUCCUGGAGCUCAACUCCAGAACUGCCUUUGAUACUGGGAGUCUUGAGUUCGGGAGAGGUGAGUGGAACUGCGAGUGUAGAGGUGAAAUUCGUAGAUAUUCGCAAGAACACCAGUGGCGAAGGCGGCUCACUGGCCCGAUACUGACGCUGAGGCACGAAAGCGUGGGGAGCAAACAGG